This 231-nucleotide unclassified non-coding RNA is filed under the name plant metagenome. Its description in RNAcentral is "partial contains small subunit ribosomal RNA, internal transcribed spacer 1, and 5.8S ribosomal RNA". The stretch from base 183 to 231 matches the Rfam family "5.8S ribosomal RNA", at positions 1 to 49 of the family's 154-position model. The record is from RNAcentral.
UUUCCGUAGGUGAACCUGCGGAAGGAUCAUUCAUAAUAAAGUGUUUUAUGGCACUUUUUAAAAAUCCAUAUCCACCGUGUGUGCAAUGUUAGAUCUCGUCAAUCAUGGCGAGAGUUUUAUACAUCAACUCAUACUUUAACUAAUUUGUCUGAAAAAUAUAAUGAAUACUUAAAUCAAAAUACAACUUUCAACAACGGAUCUCUUGGCUCUCGCAUCGACGAAGAACGCAGC